GAUGAACGCUGGCGGCGUGCCUAAUACAUGCAAGUCGAGCGAACAGACGAGGAGCUUGCUCCUCUGACGUUAGCGGCGGACGGGUGAGUAACACGUGGAUAACCUACCUAUAAGACUGGGAUAACUUCGGGAAACCGGAGCUAAUACCGUAUAAUAUAUUGAACCGCAUGGUUCAAUAGUGAAAGACGGUUUUGCUGUCACUUAUAGAUGGAUCCGCGCCGCAUUAGCUAGUUGGUAAGGUAACGGCUUACCAAGGCAACGAUGCGUAGCCGACCUGAGAGGGUGAUCGGCCACACUGGAACUGAGACACGGUCCAGACUCCUACGGGAAGCAGCAGUAGGGAAUCUUCCGCAAUGGGCGAAAGCCUGACGGAGCAACGCCGCGUGAGUGAUGAAGGUCUUCGGAUCGUAAAACUCUGUUAUUAGGGAAGAACAAAUGUGUAAGUAACUAUGCACGUCUUGACGGUACCUAAUCAGAAAGCCACGGCUAACUACGUG
RNAcentral lists this ribosomal RNA (497 nucleotides) under uncultured bacterium. RNAcentral describes it as "partial 16S ribosomal RNA". It matches the Rfam family "Bacterial small subunit ribosomal RNA", at positions 28 to 507 of the family's 1533-position model. The record is from RNAcentral.